UACGUAGGAUCCAAGCGUUGUCCGGAUUUACUGGGUGUAAAGGGUGCGCAGGCGGGCUGGCAAGUCAGGGAGUGAAAUCUCGGCGCUCAACGCCGAAACGUCUUUUGAUACUGCCAGUCUUGAAUAAGCGAGAGAUCCGUGGAAUUCCGAGUGUAGCAGUGAAAUGUGUAGAUAUUCGGAAGAACACCAGAGGCGAAGGCAGCGGGUUGGCGCUUUAUUGACGCGUCAGGCACGAAAGCAUGGGGAUCAAACAGG
This 255-nucleotide ribosomal RNA is filed under the name uncultured bacterium. Its description in RNAcentral is "partial 16S ribosomal RNA". It matches the Rfam family "Bacterial small subunit ribosomal RNA", at positions 524 to 776 of the family's 1533-position model. The record is from RNAcentral.